AUUGAACGCUGGCGGCAGGCCUAACACAUGCAAGUCGAACGGUAACAGGAAGCAGCUUGCUGCUUUGCUGACGAGUGGCGGACGGGUGAGUAAUGUCUGGGAAACUGCCUGAUGGAGGGGGAUAACUACUGGAAACGGUAGCUAAUACCGCAUAACGUCGCAAGACCAAAGAGGGGGACCUUCGGGCCUCUUGCCAUCGGAUGUGCCCAGAUGGGAUUAGCUAGUAGGUGGGGUAAAGGCUCACCUAGGCGACGAUCCCUAGCUGGUCUGAGAGGAUGACCAGCCACACUGGAACUGAGACACGGUCCAGACUCCUACGGGAGGCAGCAGUGGGGAAUAUUGCACAAUGGGCGCAAGCCUGAUGCAGCCAUGCCGCGUGUAUGAAGAAGGCCUUCGGGUUGUAAAGUACUUUCAGCCGGGAGGAAGGGAGUAAAGUUAAUACCUUUGCUCAUUGACGUUACCCGCAGAAGAAGCACCGGCUAACUCCGUG
This 490-nucleotide ribosomal RNA is filed under the name uncultured bacterium. RNAcentral describes it as "partial 16S ribosomal RNA". It matches the Rfam family "Bacterial small subunit ribosomal RNA", at positions 30 to 507 of the family's 1533-position model. The record is from RNAcentral.